CCUACGGGUGGCAGCAGUGGGGAAUAUUGCACAAUGGGGGAAACCCUGAUGCAGCAAAGCCGCGUGAGUGAAGAAGAAUUUCGGUAUGUAAAGCUCUAGCAGCAGGGAAGAAAAUGACAGUACCUGACUAAGAAGCGCAGGCGAACUACGUGCCAGCAGCCGCGGGAAUACGUAGGGGGCAAGCGGUAUCCGGGUUUACUUGGUGGAAAGGGGGUGCAGCCGGGGAGACAAGUCACAUGUGAAAUCCACGGGCUCAACCGGGGAACGGCAUUUGAAACUGUUUCCCUUGAGUGUCGGAGAGGUAAUCGGAAUUCCUUGUGUAGCGGUGAAAUGCGUAGAUAUAAGGAAGAACACCAGUGGCGAAGGCGGAUUACUGGACGCUAACUGACGGUGAGGCGCGAAAGCGUGGGGAGCGAACAGGAUUAGAUACCCGGGUAGUC
This 440-nucleotide ribosomal RNA is filed under the name uncultured bacterium. RNAcentral describes it as "partial 16S ribosomal RNA". It matches the Rfam family "Bacterial small subunit ribosomal RNA", at positions 338 to 795 of the family's 1533-position model. The record is from RNAcentral.